ACGGUAGCUAAUACCGCAUAACGUCGCAAGACCAAAGAGGGGGACCUUCGGGCCUCUUGCCAUCGGAUGUGCCCAGAUGGGAUUAGCUAGUAGGUGGGGUAAAGGCUCACCUAGGCGACGAUCCCUAGCUGGUCUGAGAGGAUGACCAGCCACACUGGAACUGAGACACGGUCCAGACUCCUACGGGAGGCAGCAUG
This 197-nucleotide ribosomal RNA is filed under the name uncultured bacterium. RNAcentral describes it as "partial 16S ribosomal RNA". It matches the Rfam family "Bacterial small subunit ribosomal RNA", at positions 156 to 353 of the family's 1533-position model. The record is from RNAcentral.